Molecule: ribosomal RNA, 290 nt
Filed under: Salmonella enterica
Lineage: Bacteria; Pseudomonadati; Pseudomonadota; Gammaproteobacteria; Enterobacterales; Enterobacteriaceae
Description: partial 23S ribosomal RNA
Rfam family: Bacterial large subunit ribosomal RNA
Source: RNAcentral
ACCAGUACCGUGAGGGAAAGGCGAAAAGAACCCCGGCGAGGGGAGUGAAAAAGAACCUGAAACCGUGUACGUACAAGCAGUGGGAGCCCCACCACCAAAGCAUUCUCUGGUGUUGAAGGCCCUGCAAAGCAGCAUCGCGGUGGCGGAGCGUCGUUUGCGACGCCCAACACACAAAACAAGCGGUGAGUGCUUUGGGGUGGGGUGACUGCGUACCUUUUGUAUAAUGGGUCAGCGACUUAUAUUCUGUAGCAAGGUUAACCGAAUAGGGGAGCCGGAGGGAAACCGAGUCU